GAUGAAGAACGUAGCGAAAUGCGAUACUUGGUGUGAAUUGCAGAAUCCCGUGAACCAUCGAGUCUUUGAACGCAAGUUGCGCCCGAAGCCGUCAGGCCGAGGGCACGCCUGCCUGGGCGUCACACGCCGUUGCCCCCCCGCGCCCCGCACCCAACGCUUUGGGAGCGACCGCGGGGCGGGCUGAUGAUGGCCUCCCGUGCGCUCCGCCGCGCGGUUGGCCCAAAUACCGAGUCCCCGGCGACGUGCGCCACGACGAUCAGUGGUUGAGAGACCUCUGUCGCAAGUCGUGCGCGCCCGUCGCGUCACGCGGGCUCGCAUAGCGCCUCGCGCCGCACCCGGUGCGGAGCUUUCAACGCGACCCCAGGUCAGGCGGGGUUACCCGCUGAAUUUAAGCAUAUCAAUAAGCGGAGGA
Molecule: unclassified non-coding RNA, 412 nt
Filed under: soil metagenome
Description: partial contains 5.8S ribosomal RNA, internal transcribed spacer 2, and large subunit ribosomal RNA
Rfam family: 5.8S ribosomal RNA (bases 1-122)
Source: RNAcentral